GACGAACGCUGGCGGCGUGCUUAACACAUGCAAGUCGAACGGCAAGGCCCCUUUGGGGGUACUCUAGUGGCGAACGGGUGCGUAACACGUGAGUAACCUGCCCUUUACUUCGUUAUAUCUUCAGGAACCUGGGGCUAAUACCGGAUAUGCGUCCUUGCUCCAUGGUGGGGGUUCGAAAGCUUCGGCGGUGUUGCAUGGUCUCGCGGCGUAUCAGCUUGUUGGUGGGUUAGUGGCUUACCAAGGCUUUGACGGGUAGCCGGCCUGAGAGGGUGACAGGCGACACUGGGACUGAGAGACGGCAGAGACGGCGACGGUAGGCAGAAGGGGGGAAGAUUGAACAAGGGGCGGAGGGCUGAUGAAGCAAGGCCGCGGGUGGGAUGACGGCUUUCGGGUGGAAAACAGCUUGCAGCAGGGGAGAAGCUUGUGGUGACGGUACCUGAAGAAGAAGCACCGGCUAACUACGUG
RNAcentral lists this ribosomal RNA (465 nucleotides) under uncultured bacterium. Its description in RNAcentral is "partial 16S ribosomal RNA". It matches the Rfam family "Bacterial small subunit ribosomal RNA", at positions 28 to 507 of the family's 1533-position model. The record is from RNAcentral.